GUUUGCAUUUUUAAAAUGAGCAUUUACGGAGAGGGUAAAAUUUUAUUUCUUCGAAUUGAAACCGAGCUACGACUUUUUCUGGAGUCAUCAUGACCUCAAAAAAAAAAAAAAAAAAAAAAAAAAAAAAAAAAAAAAAAAAAAAUUGGUGCGUACCCAUGUUAUCAUGACCACCGUCCUUCCAUGAAAUACUAGUACGAACAGCAUAUUUACGUAGUUGGGUGUCGAUUUUCAGUCAAGCUUUAGUUUUCAAGCUUAAAGUGCUGUAGGCAUCAAGUCAUCAGUUUUUUUCUUUAGUUUGCAGUUUAGUUUUGCAAUUCUCAUAGGUUCUUGUUGUGGGGUCGAAUUGCAGCCUUAUUGACAGAAGUGAUGUUUGGUAUGAUUUUAGUAACAUUCAUCCGACUUUCGUCUCUUUUGCUGACUUUACCUACAUCCUUGUUCUGUUCUCAGGCAGUUGUGCGUCUGCCAGCAAACCGAAACCCUAUGCAAAACAAUCCUUGCAGCAGUCUACCUAGAGAACCUGAACAAGCCCAACUAGAUGAGGCGCAUCAUUACUGCCAAUCGGUUUUAGACCGCUUCCGGAGGCAUCCAGUCAGUACGUGGAGUCAGAAUAAUUUGAAUCGUUUCGAAACUCAGUGUUCUGAAAAGAAAACGCUCUCACAAGAGAUAAAACGCGGGUGCAAGAUCAUCAUCAUAGGUCUUGGAUGGAGACCUUACAAACGCAUGGAUUUGGAAGAUUAUGUGACAGAUCUAACUUUCUGGAUCCGUGAGGGAUACAAGCUAAACGUUGACAUAUCAAAAAUAGUUGUUGAAGAAAAUCGAGGCAAAUGGCUGGCUACUGUUGAGAUACAUAAAGAGGAGGAAAUAAACAAUAAUGUUGGAGUGUACGCCGUUCGGGGCACCAUGCGACCCCAAAAAGAAGAUAGGCACAAAUUCUACGUAAAUCCGCUGGAUACUAAAGCAUCAUUCUUCGGGGUCUUUGAUGGUCAUAGUGGACAGGUAAGCUCAAUUCAUUGCAUAUCUCAGACACUCCACCUGUUCUAAAGUGAUUUUGGCAAUACUUGAAAAUAUCGAAAUCCUUGAGUCUUGA
This 1087-nucleotide long non-coding RNA is filed under the name Bemisia tabaci. RNAcentral's name for it is "lncRNA ENSSSA1UGG006498". Lineage: Eukaryota; Metazoa; Arthropoda; Insecta; Hemiptera; Aleyrodidae. The record is from RNAcentral.